RNAcentral lists this long non-coding RNA (545 nucleotides) under Homo sapiens (human). RNAcentral's name for it is "HSALNT0232934". Lineage: Eukaryota; Metazoa; Chordata; Mammalia; Primates; Hominidae. The record is from RNAcentral.
CCGAGAUCGUACCAUUGCACUCCAGCCUGGGUGACAGAAUGGAAUGAGACUCUGUCUCAAAAAAAAAAAAAAAAAGAAGCCCUAGAUUUCGGUUGUAUUGGUUGUAAAAGGAGAGACCAACUAAGUGGGGGUUGAAGUCAGAUUAGACCAAAAGUGAAUGGCAGAGAGUGCCAUAAUGUCCAUGAAGGGUUGCUAGAGUCACCGCGAUCAUAGCCCAAGCAGAGACAGAGAAAGGAAGAUGUGAGCAGAGUUUGGGGCCUCAAACAAUGGAGGUUAUUCGUGCAGCCCAGGAAAGGCUCCCCAAAGCCAGGAUCAACCUCCCUUGCAGGCGGUCCCCCUCAUGGAGGCAUGGCCAGGCACCUUAGAUUUGAGACCAGCUGCGUUGCUGCUGACCAGCUGUGUGACCCUGGGCUGGUUUCCUUCCAUACAAUGGGAGAGCCAACGGCUGCAUGCAUGCAAAGACCGUCUGAGGAUAGGAGGAAGCAAUCUGUUGAGCACCCGUGUACCUGAGUGUCAUCACCUCCCAAGGGCAUCCUUCGUUCCAG